Molecule: transfer RNA, 66 nt
Filed under: Cherax quinquecarinatus
Lineage: Eukaryota; Metazoa; Arthropoda; Malacostraca; Decapoda; Parastacidae
Description: tRNA-Ser
Rfam family: tRNA
About the family: Transfer RNA (tRNA) molecules are approximately 80 nucleotides in length. Their secondary structure includes four short double-helical elements and three loops (D, anti-codon, and T loops). Further hydrogen bonds mediate the characteristic L-shaped molecular structure. tRNAs have two regions of fundamental functional importance: the anti-codon, which is responsible for specific mRNA codon recognition, and the 3' end, to which the tRNAs corresponding amino acid is attached (by aminoacyl-tRNA synthetases). tRNAs cope with the degeneracy of the genetic code in two manners: having more than one tRNA (with a specific anti-codon) for a particular amino acid; and 'wobble' base-pairing, i.e. permitting non-standard base-pairing at the 3rd anti-codon position.
Source: RNAcentral
UGGGUAUUUAGUUUAUUCUAAAACAAAUGUUUUGAAAGCAUUAGUAGGAAAAUUUUUCCAAUACCC